AAACAGUUGAUAGGCGUCACACAACCUAACUCGAACACUUUGAAUUAUAGCAGGCAGUAUACAAUCCACAACUCCAACAACCACAAUUCUAUCAACAAUCCCCAUAUUUCUACGGCUAUUCUCGAACAUUUCCCAUUCCUUCACCGUCUCAUCAACAUCGUCUUCCUCCGUCUUACAUGUACUACCCGACGCUUCCCCCAGCUCAAUUCGAACCUUCCUUCAACUACCCUCCAGCUCCUCUCGUACCGCACCGCUUUUCUCCUGCAGAUUCUCAGACAUCUCAGACAUGUCAGCAAAUUGGAGCUGAAGCUGGAGCUAGAGAAAGUCCGACCACUUAACACAGAGAAUAAGAAUGUCAAAAACCAAACCGAAAUUAUUGGUU
Cucurbita moschata (crookneck pumpkin) is the source of this 382-nucleotide long non-coding RNA. RefSeq lists it as uncharacterized. The record is from RefSeq and is a predicted model, not a curated record. The transcript has 2 exons. Lineage: Eukaryota; Viridiplantae; Streptophyta; Magnoliopsida; Cucurbitales; Cucurbitaceae.